UUGAGAAAAAAAAAUGUAACAAGGUCUCCGUAGGUGAACCUGCGGAGGGAUCAUUACCCAAAUAUGAAACGCAGACUGGGCACCCUCGAGGAGCGAUUCGUCGUCCCCCUCCUGGGCCGGUCUGACGCCAUAUUCACCCAUGUCUUUUGCGUACUACUUGUUUCCUUGGCGGGUUCGCCCGCCAUUAGGACCCAACCAUAAACCUUUUUGUAAUUGCAAUCAGCGUCUGAACAAUGUAAUAAAUUACAACUUUCAACAACGGAUCUCUUGGUUCUGGCAUCGAUGAAGAACGCAGCGAAAUGCGAUAAGUAGUGUGAAUUGCAGAAUUCAGUGAAUCAUCGAAUCUUUGAACGCACAUUGCGCCCUUUGGUAUUCCAAAGGGCAUGCCUGUUCGAGCGUCAUUUGUACCCUCAAGCUUUGCUUGGUGUUGGGCGUUUUUGUCUUGGGUCCGCCCCGAGACUCGCCUUAAAAUCAUUGGCAGCCGGCCUACUGGUUUCGGAGCGCAGCACAUUUUUUGCGCUUUGGUCUAGUGGUCCAGCGUCCAUGAAGCGAAUAUUUUCAAUUUGACCUCGGAUCAGGUAGGGAUACCCGCUGAACUUAAGCAUAUCAAGAGCAAAAGAAACCAACAGGGAUUGCCCUAGUAACGGCGAAGUGAAGCGGCAACAGCUCAAAUUUGAAAUCUGGCUCUUUCAGGGUCCGAGUUGUAAUUUGCAGAGGGCGCUUUGGCUUUGGCAGCGGUCCAAGUUCCUUGGAACAGGACGUCACAGAGGGUGAGAAUCCCGUACGUGGUCGCUAGCUAUUGCCGUGUAAAGCCCCUUCGACGAGUCGAGUUGUUUGGGAAUGCAGCUCUAAAUGGGAGGUAAAUUUCUUCUAAAGCUAAAUACUGGCCAGAGACCGAUAGCGCACAAGUAGAGUGAUCGAAAGAUGAAAAGCACUUUGGAAAGAGAGUCAAACAGCACGUGAAAUUGUUGAAAGGGAAGCGCUUGCAGCCAGACUUGCUUGCAGUUGCUCAUCCGGGCUUUUGCCCGGUGCACUCUUCUGCAGGCAGGCCAGCAUCAGUUUGGGCGGUGGGAUAAAGGUCUCUGUCACGUACCUCUCUUCGGGGAGGCCUUAUAGGGGAGACGACAUACCACCAGCCUGGACUGAGGUCCGCGCAUUCGCUAGGAUGCUGGCGUAAUGGCUGUAAGCGGCCCGUCU
Molecule: ribosomal RNA, 1197 nt
Filed under: Drechslera erythrospila
Lineage: Eukaryota; Fungi; Ascomycota; Dothideomycetes; Pleosporales; Pleosporaceae
Description: eukaryotic LSU rRNA
Rfam family: Eukaryotic large subunit ribosomal RNA (bases 565-1197)
Source: RNAcentral